RNAcentral lists this ribosomal RNA (546 nucleotides) under Russula sp. HMAS 280181. RNAcentral's name for it is "mitochondrial SSU rRNA". It matches the Rfam family "Bacterial small subunit ribosomal RNA", at positions 347 to 965 of the family's 1533-position model. The record is from RNAcentral. Lineage: Eukaryota; Fungi; Basidiomycota; Agaricomycetes; Russulales; Russulaceae.
UUCAGCAGUCCAGAAUAUUAGUCAAUGCUCGAAAGAGUGAACUAGCUAACUGAAAUCAAUUAUAAUAAUUGAUAAGAUAAGGGAGAAUAAUGAUAUUACCUUAUUAUUAGUGUCGUCCAAAACUGGUGCCAGAAGACUCGGUAAGGCCAGAGACACAAACGUUAAUCGUCUUAAUCAGGCGUAAAGGGUUUGUAGGCGGCUUUUAAACGAUAAAAGCUAGAAUCAAAUAGAGGAUAUAUCAAAUAAUGCUUAGAGUAGGUCUGAUAUCCUUAGAUACUAAGUAGAAUAUUAAAGGCGAAAGCUUUUUUCCAAUAAUGAUUGACGCUCAGAAACGAAGGUGAGGAUAGGAAAUAGGAUUAGAUACCCAAAAUACCCCUCUCUGUCAACGAUGAAUGGUAGUUAUUAGUAAUAAAUUUUUAUUAAUGGCAAUGUUAACACGAUAACCAUUCCGCCUUGUGAGUACAACUGCAAAGUUGAAAACAAAAAAAUUAGUCGGUUUCGGAGCAAACGAAGUGAAGCAUGUUAUUUAAUUCGAUAAUCCGCAAA